RNAcentral lists this long non-coding RNA (1065 nucleotides) under Betta splendens (Siamese fighting fish). RNAcentral describes it as "lncRNA (ENSBSLG00000013514.1)". Lineage: Eukaryota; Metazoa; Chordata; Actinopteri; Anabantiformes; Osphronemidae. The record is from RNAcentral.
AUGCUGUCAUGGAUGUUGGGCAAACAGGGUAACAGGAAGCUGUGGGACACGUUUUUAGCAAGCAGCACAGAAAAGGAGCAUUUAAAGAACCGGUGUGCAGCUCAGUCACCAUUUCCACAGCUGGGUUCGGCCGUGUGCUUCUGGGUCGCCGUGUGGUUCUGGGUCGCCGUGUGGUUCUGGGUCGGCCGUGUGGUUCUGGGUCGCCGUGUGGUUCUGGGUCGGCCGUGUGGUUCUGGGUCGCCGUGUGGUUCUGGGUCGGCCGUGUGGUUCUGGGUUCGGCCGUGUGCUUCUGGGUCGCCGUGUGCUUCUGGGUUCGGCCGUGUGCUUCUGGGUCGCCGUGUGGUUCUGGGUCCGCCGUGUGGUUCUGGGUCGCCGUGUGGUUCUGGGUCGGCCGUGUGGUUCUGGGUUCGGCCGUGUGCUUCUGCGUCGCCGUGUGGUUCUGGGUCCGCCGUCUGGUUCUGGGUCGCCGUGUGCUUCUGGGUCGCCGUGUGGUUCUGGGUUCGGCCGUGUGCUUCUGGGUCGCCGUGUGCUUCUGGGUCGCCGUGUGGUUCUGGGUUCGGCCGUGUGGUUCUGGGUCGCCGUGUGGUUCUGGGUCCGCCGUGUGGUUCUGGGUCGCCGUGUGCUUCUGGGUUCGGCCGUGUGCUUCUGGGUCGCCGUGUGGUUCUGGGUCCGCCGUGUGGUUCUGGGUCGCCGUGUGGUUCUGGGUCGCCGUGUGCUUCUGCGUCGCCGUGUGCUUCUGCGUCGCCGUGUGGUUCUGGGUCGCCGUGUGGUUCUGGGUCGCCGUGUGCUUCUGCGUCGCCGUGUGCUUCUGCGUCGCCGUGUGGUUCUGGGUCGCCGUGUGGUUCUGGGUCGCCGUGUGCUUCUGCGUCGCCGUGUGCUUCUGGGUCGCCGUCUGGUUCUGGGUUCGGCCGUGUGGUUCUGGGUCGCCGUGUGGUUCUGGGUCGCCGUGUGCUUCUGGGUCCGCCGUCUGGUUCUGGGUCGCUGUGUGCUUCUGGGUCGCCGUGUGGUUCUGGGUUCGGCCGUGUGCUUCUGGGUCGCCGUGUGGUUCUGGUGCUGGUGCUUUAA